CCCUUAGACGUUCUGGGCCGCACGCGCGCUACACUGACCAGUGCAACAAGCAUCCGUCCUUGGCCGACAGGCUCGGGCAAUCUUUGAACGCUGGUCGUGAUGGGGAUAGACUUUUGCAAUUUUUGGUCUUCAACGAGGAAUUCCUAGUAAACGCAAGUCAUCAACUUGCAUUGAUUACGUCCCUGCCCUUUGUACACACCGCCCGUCGCACCUACCGAUUGGAUGGUCCGGUGAAGCCUCGGGAUUGUGGUUCUUGCCGCUUUAUUGUGGCGUGACCGCGAGAACUUGUCUAAACCUUAUCAUCUAGAGGAAGGUGAAGUCGUAACA
This 327-nucleotide ribosomal RNA is filed under the name uncultured eukaryote. RNAcentral describes it as "partial 18S ribosomal RNA". It matches the Rfam family "Eukaryotic small subunit ribosomal RNA", at positions 1470 to 1796 of the family's 1831-position model. The record is from RNAcentral.